RNAcentral lists this ribosomal RNA (327 nucleotides) under uncultured eukaryote. RNAcentral's name for it is "partial 18S ribosomal RNA". It matches the Rfam family "Eukaryotic small subunit ribosomal RNA", at positions 1470 to 1796 of the family's 1831-position model. The record is from RNAcentral.
CCCCUAGAUGUUCUGGGCCGCACGCGCGCUACACUGAAGCGUUCAACGAGUAUUCACCUUGCCCGGGAGGGUUGGGUAAUCUUUUGAAAACGCUUCGUGAUGGGGAUAGAUUAUUGCAAUUAUUAAUCUUCAACGAGGAAUUCCUAGUAAGCGCGAGUCAUCAGCUCGUGCUGAUUACGUCCCUGCCCUUUGUACACACCGCCCGUCGCUCCUACCGAUUGAGCAAACCGGUGAAUAGUUUGGACCGUCGGCUUUCUCGGUUCGCCGGGUUAGCAGUGCGGAAAAUUCAGUGAACCUUUUUGCUUAGAGGAAGGAGAANUCGUAACA